Molecule: long non-coding RNA, 780 nt
Organism: Fundulus heteroclitus (mummichog)
Lineage: Eukaryota; Metazoa; Chordata; Actinopteri; Cyprinodontiformes; Fundulidae
Exons: 5
Source: RefSeq, a predicted model, not a curated record
CCGUGUCCAACUCGAAUAUCAGGUUCAACUUUCAAAAACUAUGGAAACAAAGACAACAAAUAUUGAGGACUUAUUUUUGGAAAACCUGUUUUGGUGGAAUGCAUAUGAACAAGUUGAUGUGUUUCAUUGUGUUGAAUUCUUUGGGUUGGGGCUCUAUGAAAAUGAAAAUACACUUGUAAAGUGAGGUCAUCUGUGUAGUAUAUAAAGUGUAGCGCCACUCUGGGCUUUUAGUAUCAGAAUUCAGGAGAACAAGCCUGCAGGAUCCACCUGGACAUCACAAUGAAGCUGAUUUUUUCUCUCACUCUCAUCUGCGCGCUCUACAGCACAGCUGGAGCCCUAACCUGUACAGAGGGUUCGACCGAAACAUCAACAACAUGCAGCUCAGAGACCAUGUGCAUAGUAGCUACCUUCCUUGUAACUCAAAAUGGAACCUCAGCAUCACUAACCUACAAAGCCUGUGCAUCAUCCGCUCUGUGUCCGCUCACAGGCAAUACGACUGCUUCAGUCAACUUUGGUGCUCAAAGUGCAACUGCAUCUGCUCAGUGCUGCAACACUGACAACUGCAACUCACAAAAUCUGUCUUCACCCACUGCUCAGUCACCUAACUCCCUCCAGUGCAUUGCUUGUGAUCCCAUCACUUCACAGUGCACCACUAUAAUAACAUGUUCAGGAGAUGAGACAAACUGCUUCACAGCAGCUGUCAAAAAUGGAAACACAACAACUCCAGUGCUGGGCUGUGCAACCCCAAAUACAUGUUCAGCUGCUACAAGUCUGAUUAGU